UACGGGGGGGGCAAGCGUUGUUCGGAAUUACUGGGCGUAAAGGGCCCGUAGGCGGCCAACUAAGUCCGACGUGAAAUCCCAAGGCUUAACCUUGGAACUGCGUCGGAUACUGGAUGGCUUGAAUUCGGGAGAGGGAUGCAGAAUUCCAGGUGUAGCGGUGAAAUGCGUAGAUAUUGGGAGGAACACCAGUGGCGAAGGCGGCUCGCUGGACCGGAACUGACGCUGAGGCGCGAAAGCGUGGGGAGCAAACGGG
Molecule: ribosomal RNA, 253 nt
Filed under: uncultured bacterium
Lineage: Bacteria
Description: partial 16S ribosomal RNA
Rfam family: Bacterial small subunit ribosomal RNA
Source: RNAcentral